This 264-nucleotide unclassified non-coding RNA is filed under the name Hevea brasiliensis (rubber tree). Lineage: Eukaryota; Viridiplantae; Streptophyta; Magnoliopsida; Malpighiales; Euphorbiaceae. The record is from RNAcentral.
AUUUUAGUCGCUCCAACAUUUUUAGGAAUUAGAGGAAUGAAUGUUGCAUUGAAACUUUUCUCAAAAUUCUGAUUGGAGUGGAACUGUGAAAGGGUGUUAAUUAUGUCCUUCAAAACCUCCCAAAAAGUCUCGAAGAAAAUCAUUGGGAAGCCAUCCAGUCCAGGACCCUUCUCCUUAGCACACAUCUUAAUACUUUUUAGGAUUUCUUGUUCCUCGAAAGGUCUUUGCAACCAUACUUGUUCCUCUCCAUUUAUCAUAUUAACA